CGGGUGAGUAAUGUCUGGGGGAAAACUGCCUGAUGGAGGGGAUAACUACUGGAAACGGUAGCUAAUACCGCAUAACGUCUCCGGACCAAAGUGGGGACCUUCGGGCCUCACACCAUCGGAUGUGCCCAGAUGGGAUUAGCUUGUAGGUGGGGUAAUGGCUCACCUAGGCGACGAUCCCUAGCUGGUCUGAGAGGAUGACCAGCCACACUGGAACUGAGACACGGUCCNAGACUCCUACGGGAGGCAGCAGGA
Molecule: ribosomal RNA, 252 nt
Filed under: uncultured Yersinia sp.
Lineage: Bacteria; Pseudomonadati; Pseudomonadota; Gammaproteobacteria; Enterobacterales; Yersiniaceae
Description: partial 16S ribosomal RNA
Rfam family: Bacterial small subunit ribosomal RNA
Source: RNAcentral